Molecule: ribosomal RNA, 794 nt
Filed under: uncultured Megasphaera sp.
Lineage: Bacteria; Bacillati; Bacillota; Negativicutes; Veillonellales; Veillonellaceae
Description: bacterial SSU rRNA
Rfam family: Bacterial small subunit ribosomal RNA
Source: RNAcentral
ACGAGAGCGUAGAGAAAGCUUGCUUUUUCUACAAUCUAGUGGCAAACGGGUGAGUAACGCGUAAACAACCUGCCCUACGGAUGGGGACAACAGCUGGAAACGGCUGCUAAUACCGAAUACGUUCCGAAAGUCGCAUGACUAUCGGAAGAAAGGAUGGCCUCUAUUUAUAAGCUAUCGCCGGAGGAGGGGUUUGCGUCUGAUUAGCUAGUUGGAGGGGUAACGGCCCACCAAGGCGACGAUCAGUAGCCGGUCUGAGAGGAUGAACGGCCACAUUGGAACUGAGACACGGUCCAGACUCCUACGGGAGGCAGCAGUGGGGAAUCUUCCGCAAUGGGCGAAAGCCUGACGGAGCAACGCCGCGUGAGUGAAGACGGCCUUCGGGUUGUAAAGCUCUGUUAUACGGGACGAAUAAUCUUGUGGUUAAUACCCAUGAGAAGUGACGGUACCGUAAGAGAAAGCCACGGCUAACUACGUGCCAGCAGCCGCGGUAAUACGUAGGUGGCAAGCGUUGUCCGGAAUUAUUGGGCGUAAAGGGCGCGCAGGCGGCUUCUUAAGUCUGUCUUAAAAGUGCGGGGCUUAACCCCGUGAUGGGAUGGAAACUGGGAAGCUCAGAGUAUCGGAGAGGAAAGCGGAAUUCCUAGUGUAGCGGUGAAAUGCGUAGAUAUUAGGAGGACACCAGUGGCGAAAGCGGCUUUCUGGACGAAAACUGACGUGAGGCGCGAAAGCAGGGGAGCGACGGGAUUAGAUACCCCGUAGUCUGGCGUAACGAUGGGUAUAGGUGUAGGAGGUAUCGA